RNAcentral lists this signal recognition particle RNA (77 nucleotides) under Lactococcus lactis subsp. lactis Il1403. RNAcentral describes it as "Bacterial small signal recognition particle RNA". It matches the Rfam family "Bacterial small signal recognition particle RNA", at positions 12 to 81 of the family's 97-position model. Rfam says of the family: The signal recognition particle (SRP) is a universally conserved ribonucleoprotein involved in the co-translational targeting of proteins to membranes. Archaeal SRP consists of a 7S RNA and homologues of the eukaryotic SRP19 and SRP54 proteins. Lineage: Bacteria; Bacillati; Bacillota; Bacilli; Lactobacillales; Streptococcaceae. RNAcentral also lists the same sequence under 1 other name. The record is from Rfam by way of RNAcentral.
GGAGCAAUAAGUUUCUUACGAAGCGUGUCAGGACCUGACGGUAGCAGCACUAAGUAUGGAGCUUAUGUGCUCUUUUU